This is a non-coding RNA of Ailuropoda melanoleuca (giant panda), 73 nucleotides long. The record is from Rfam. NCBI's taxonomy places the organism in Eukaryota, Metazoa, Chordata, Mammalia, Carnivora, Ursidae.
GCCUGGCUGGCUCAGUCAGUAGAGCAUGUGACUCUUGAUCUUGGGGUUGUGGGUUCAAGCCCCACCCUGGGUG